ACCGCACGAAGUAUACGACGAAUCUUGAA
Molecule: small nuclear RNA, 29 nt
Filed under: Phaeodactylum tricornutum CCAP 1055/1
Lineage: Eukaryota; Bacillariophyta; Bacillariophyceae; Surirellales; Neidiaceae
Description: snRNA PTsRNA00018a
Source: RNAcentral